GUAGGUGGCAAGCGUUGUCCGGAAUUAUUGGGCGUAAAGCGCGCGCAGGGCGGUUCUUUAAGUCUGAUGUGAAAGCCCACGGCUCAACCGUGGAGGGUCAUUGGAAACUGGAGAACUUGAGUACAGAAGAGGAAAGCGGAAUUCCACGUGUGGCGGUGAAAUGCGUAGAGAUGUGGAGGAACACCGGUGGCGAAGGCGGCUUUCUGGACUGUAACUGACGCUGAGGCGCGAAAGCGUGGGGAGCAAACAGGAUUAGAUACCCUGGUAGUCCACGCCGUAAACGAUGAGUGCUAAGUGUUAGGGGGUUUCCGCCCCUUAGUGCUGCAGCUAACGCAUUAAGCACUCCGCCUGGGGAGUACGGCCGCAAGGCUA
Molecule: ribosomal RNA, 372 nt
Filed under: uncultured organism
Description: partial 16S ribosomal RNA
Rfam family: Bacterial small subunit ribosomal RNA
Source: RNAcentral